RNAcentral lists this ribosomal RNA (253 nucleotides) under uncultured bacterium. RNAcentral's name for it is "partial 16S ribosomal RNA". It matches the Rfam family "Bacterial small subunit ribosomal RNA", at positions 524 to 776 of the family's 1533-position model. The record is from RNAcentral.
UACGAAGGGGGCUAGCGUUGCUCGGAAUCACUGGGCGUAAAGCGCACGUAGGCGGACUAUUAAGUCAGGGGUGAAAUCCCGGGGCUCAACCCCGGAACUGCCUUUGAUACUGGUAGUCUCGAGUCCGGAAGAGGUGAGUGGAAUUCCGAGUGUAGAGGUGAAAUUCGUAGAUAUUCGGAGGAACACCAGUGGCGAAGGCGGCUCACUGGUCCGGUACUGACGCUGAGGUGCGAAAGCGUGGGGAGCAAACAGG